GUCGCGGUGUCCGACCGUCAGAUGAAGCCACAUGGCAGCAGCUUGUCCUCCAUGCUGGGCACCACCUCCAUCCCACAGCCCCAGCAUCCCUGUCCCGUACCCUCCACGCACAGGACAACCUGGACCCGUGGACAUAUAUUUUGAGAUGUUCUCCUACAACAGACAUUCCUUUGUGUAACUGGCUUCUGGUACGGAGAGGUGUUGGCUUGUGUGUGCCCCUGGGAUGCCUCUGAGUAAUGCACGCAAGGUUUUGGCUGCUCUUAAGUCAGAAGGUUUACUCUUUGGCUCAGAAGCUAGAUUCACAUCUCCUCCUGGAGCCUGCUAAUGGAUCAUCAGUGGAUUCAAGUGUCCUUCCACCCUGGCGUCUGGUUUAUCCAGCCUGGAAACACACCCUGAAACCUUUUCCUUCCACUCUGUUGUUUUAGCAUCUGACACCCCAGGGCCACUCUCGCUGACCCCACAGGCUCUGCUGCAAAGGAUGGAUAUUUCUGUCACAGUUUGCUCUUCUCUGUCCUUCAGCAGAACACGUUGGUAGGGUGGCAAAGGGCAGACACUAUGGUGAUUUCCCCCCCCACCCAAGACCCCCAAUGUCUCACAAAUUAAGAGCUAGGGGGAAUAAAAAUAAUACCAUCUGGUGACACAGUGAGACUAAUCCUGGAGUUUGCCUCUCCCCAGGCAUGUGGACACAAAUUUACUUGCCUGACUGUUGGUGGCAUUAGCCAGUGAGUGCUGAUGAGAGGGAGGAUGGAUGAAGACUCAGAGAGAGAGACCACAGUGUGGGCAGUGGUGAGGAGGAGGAUGAUGGAGAAGAGAAUGUGUCCUCACACUGCGUAACUCUUUUGGGACAAAAGCCAGGUCUUCUGAGUGUCAGCGUCAUGUUCCUCCCCUUGGGUAAGAUAUCUAUUAGACCUGUUUUAGUGCUACCUACACAGAGCAACAGACUUUGUCUCUGACAGUAAUUACAGAGCUCAUUAAACACAGAAAACUGAACCCUGGUGCAGAAUAAGGAAAAAUAAGGCGAGUUAAAAGGUGGGCAGAGUCUGGCAUAGCCUCUUCCCAGUGGCAUUGCUUUGCUCCCGAGGAAGCUCCGUGCCAAGUUUCAGUUUUACACGGCAGAAAUGAAUCACAGCAAAUUGCUGACGGAGCCUCCGCCGCCGUCAAACACCAACUGGUUCGGUAUAAAGGGAAAGUGCUGCUGGUCCCCGCUCCCGCCGUCUGAGCACAAGGCUGCUAAUAAGUAAAUAAGGGAUAAUCCGAUCAAUUAAAUGCUCAGCUUGGAGGCUGGAGAGGAGGGCACAGCUCUGCCGGCCCUCAGAUGUGUCGUCUUCGGGCUGCAGGGAGGACAGCUGGAGCCCAUCCCUCCGCUCAGGCUUGGUGAACUGUUCUGCUGGUGGCUUCUGACUUGUUAUUCUGGGCUGGAUGAAAAACAGCUCCGUGACAGUGGAAAGGGCACAGCACAGGUUGAAGGAACAGUAUGUCCCCUCUGAUCACACCCUGGACGCUUGCUGGGGCAAAUACCGGCCCCGAGCCUCCGAGGGAACAUUUUUGCAGGUAUUUACCCUGCGAGCAGCCCAGAACUGGAUUAAGAUCAGGGCUGGGGAGACAGGAGGCACCUCAUCUCGUGGGCCUGGGGCCACUUCUGCACUCCAAGAACUUGUUCAGAGGGGCUCCGGACAGAGAAAAAGAGUCAGCUGGAAGAAAGCCAUUCCAAAGAAGAAAUGAAUGGUAAUAUCAUCAUCAUCACACAAAGAACCCAGGAGAAUCCUUCCAAGAGGUAAAGAUGAGAAAAACAAAAAAGAAGAAAAAUAAAAAAGGCGUCUUGAACUGUGCACCUGCAGGGCUGGCUGCCUGUGCGCAUAUGGAACGCGCCUUGCACACGUAUAUGGAACAUGCCUUGCACACGUAUAUGGAACACGCCUUGCACACAUGUGCAGAGCACUCCUCGCACACACGUGUGCACUCCCACAACACAGCUGGAGUGCUCACUCCCAGCUCUGCAAAAGUUUGCAGACUUAGAGGCCAGGCAGAGAUUUCUCUUGAAAGCUCCUCUCUAAAUGUUAUUCCUAUUUAGAAAGAAAAAAAUAAAUAGGCUGGACUUCAGCAUGUUCAGCACCCCAGAGCGAGAUGAUUUCCAGCUCUCCCUGGGCUGUGACGGGCGUCAGGGCACCAAUGUAACGUAUCAAAAUAGGGAGAAUAAGAAGUGAUUUGGAGCUUUUCUCUUAUUUUGGUUGUUGGCUCCGCCUCAGCACAACUGGCUCCAGCCAGGGCAUUCGGCUCCUUGAGUUUGACUUGGGGCUUGUGGGCUCAAUACUUUUAUAUUGAGGCCUCAAACCAUUGGGGAGGGGUUAGGCCAAACCCCUGUUUUUCCAUUAUUUUAAUAAAUGUGAUCACUUUUCGAAAGUUUAGUUUUCUAGCUUCCUCCAAAUGCAGAUAUCCUUUUCUCUCACCCCAGAAACCAAAAGACUGGAUUUGGACCCUGCGUUAUUUGGCAUUUACUCCUUCAGAUAUGUUGAACAUUACUUCAUGGCUGAAAUUGCAGAAAUAAACCCCCUAAUAAAAUAGAAACUAAUAACUUUUACCAUCUUUGUCUUUCUAUGGGAGUCAGGAACAGCUUAGUCUGUACAAUAAUUAUACUGUAUGCACAGCAAAAGAAGUUUUCGACUGCUGCCAUUCCCAGCCCUUCUCCACCAAAGGAAAUAAAAAAGUUGGCAAUAAAUUUAAACCAGUUUUAUUUACCUUGAACUACUCAGCCAAGAAUGCACAUUAUUUAGGGACUGGAAUAAAAAGCCAUUCACUCUGGUUCAAUUGGCCAUUUAGUUCAAUUUGUGUGUGUUACUGCAGGUAAUUACUAUGGUAAUAAUGUACUGUAAUCUGCACUGAUUUGGAACUUGUCCUGUUUCUAUAUUAAUAAUAAGUGCCAUAUAUGUACUAAUUACCAGUUUGUUACCAUGGUUAUUUGCGUAGAUGCCAUGUUAAUGAUACCCUGGAAACAUAA
Long non-coding RNA from Columba livia (rock pigeon), 2995 nucleotides. RefSeq lists it as uncharacterized. The record is from RefSeq and is a predicted model, not a curated record. The transcript has 3 exons. Lineage: Eukaryota; Metazoa; Chordata; Aves; Columbiformes; Columbidae.